Molecule: transfer RNA, 73 nt
Filed under: Ailuropoda melanoleuca (giant panda)
Lineage: Eukaryota; Metazoa; Chordata; Mammalia; Carnivora; Ursidae
Rfam family: tRNA
About the family: Transfer RNA (tRNA) molecules are approximately 80 nucleotides in length. Their secondary structure includes four short double-helical elements and three loops (D, anti-codon, and T loops).
Source: Rfam by way of RNAcentral
GCCUGGCUGGCUCAGUUGUGAGAGCAUGAAACUCUUGAUCUUGGGGUCAUGAGUUCAAGCCCCUUGCUGGGUG